This 1049-nucleotide long non-coding RNA is filed under the name Numida meleagris (helmeted guineafowl). RNAcentral's name for it is "lncRNA (ENSNMEG00000008943.1)". Lineage: Eukaryota; Metazoa; Chordata; Aves; Galliformes; Numididae. The record is from RNAcentral.
UAGUGAAUAAUAAAAGGAAGUCUUUGAUGCAAAGUGAUCAAGACUGUUUGGCAAGCUAGAUGCAGAUUAAGUUCUGAAUUUACAUACAAUCAGGCAGAAAACCAUAGGCCUAGCAUUAAAGGAUGUUAUUUCCAAUGAAGGAGGAAAUCUCUUCCACUCAGAGGAGCCUUGACUGUAAAGAUCAGGAGAGAAGGUGUGCUUCUCUACAGAAAAAGAGCAUGUGGGAACCUUUCAUUUGAAAACAUCUGACCAGCUGCAUUAGAGGUGAACAGAAACUUGAGGCUCUCUAGGCCCUAUACUUCUUAACUGGAACAGAAUGUGGAGGGAACUAUCCUGUAUCCUGUUGGUUGUGCUACAUCUCUUCCUGGAGGGAAUUAGCUGCCACAAUCCAGUAUUCCUAUUGUUUACCAGCUCUCACCUUGGAAUUUUGGAACCAAGUUUGCAGGCUUCUUCACUAAAAGCAGCAGCUGCAGUUCUGCAGUGGUAGCAGCAUCCAGCACACACUACAGUAUCACUACAGAGUGAAGUGUAAGGUAGUGCUCUCUGCACCUCUGAAGCUGUCUGGAAGAGGCAACAACUCUUUCUCAUAGCAAAGAGCAUGUAUACCUAACAUCUGAGUUCUUGCCUAAUGAUCCCUUCUCUUUCCCACAUGACUUUCUGUCUUCAUUUUCAGCUCUUCUCUGUUCUCAUUUUCUUCCCAUUUCCCAUUUCAUUAAAUUUAGGUAAGAAAAGAGAGAGAACACUCUGAUUUUGAUAUUGUAUCAAAAUGCUUAAAAAGAUUUUCCACGAUGAAUUAAUUAGAAUGAAUAUAGGCAAGUUACUUAAUCUCACUGUAUUUCAGAUCUUGAUAAAAUAAUGAUAAGAUUCUUUUUUUUCUAUCUGUUUUGACAGUAUAUUUUCCAUAUAUAAUGUAGAUUCUCUCUAUUUCAAUCCCAGUUACUCUGGUUAGAAAACCAUGGCUAGCAAAGUAUGGUCACUGAUGCUUCAUAUUUUGUUCUUAUUUUGUUUUGCGCUUUUACAUAUGAUUAAAUUGCAUUAAUAAUGAAAUC